GGGCAUAUGGUUUAGUGGUAUAAUACUCCCUUAGCAUGCGGCUCAGCCGAUCACGUGACUGGGAGUGGUCCUGGGUUCGAUUCCCAGUUUGUCCA
Molecule: transfer RNA, 95 nt
Filed under: Drepanopeziza brunnea f. sp. 'multigermtubi' MB_m1
Lineage: Eukaryota; Fungi; Ascomycota; Leotiomycetes; Helotiales; Drepanopezizaceae
Description: Marssonina brunnea f. sp. 'multigermtubi' MB_m1 tRNA
Rfam family: tRNA
About the family: Transfer RNA (tRNA) molecules are approximately 80 nucleotides in length. Their secondary structure includes four short double-helical elements and three loops (D, anti-codon, and T loops). Further hydrogen bonds mediate the characteristic L-shaped molecular structure. tRNAs have two regions of fundamental functional importance: the anti-codon, which is responsible for specific mRNA codon recognition, and the 3' end, to which the tRNAs corresponding amino acid is attached (by aminoacyl-tRNA synthetases). tRNAs cope with the degeneracy of the genetic code in two manners: having more than one tRNA (with a specific anti-codon) for a particular amino acid; and 'wobble' base-pairing, i.e. permitting non-standard base-pairing at the 3rd anti-codon position.
Source: Rfam by way of RNAcentral